Molecule: microRNA, 22 nt
Filed under: Sarcophilus harrisii (Tasmanian devil)
Lineage: Eukaryota; Metazoa; Chordata; Mammalia; Dasyuromorphia; Dasyuridae
Description: Sha-Mir-7303-P1-v2_5p* (star (passenger))
Source: RNAcentral
UCAUCCAAACAGGACGCAUUGU